UGAGAAUUCCAAUCGAUCUAAUGCAUUCCACGCUUUUAUACUUAUAGCGGCUACCUUCAAGCAUCAUUAUAAAUUAUUCUUCUCGAAGCAUCCUUCCAAUUCCAAUGACUCUGAUCAUCAAUACUGUUACUUCCAUCCAGAUAACCAUGUAUAAGGAAAUCAAACGGGAUCCGAAACAAUUGAUUGGAUAUGGUGGAAUGUCGUCUUCGUAUUCAGCUACUAUUAUUGCUGUUACUACGGCAGUUGGACUUCGUUUAUUUUUUUUGUUUUCAAUAUUUCGUUCUUCCUCUUUUAGAUUCUCUGAUUAUGAUGGGUCAUUGUUGUAUUUUUAAAGAUCUGAAGAUGGAGCAAGAAACCAGUGUCUAAUACUGGGGCAAUUUUAUUCUUUUGACUGUCAUGGUUCCGUUGAAACAUGUGCAUAUGUGAGUGCUAUAAAAAUAUGGUUGGUGUCAAACUUAAAAUUGCUAUAGUUAGUGUGUAUAUACAAUGAAUAUGUGUAUGUGCUAGAAGCAUGAACACAUAUAAUAUCUGUAAAAGUCACUGUCUCCAGGUUUUUACUGUCUAUAUAAGCUUUUGGUUUUUGCUUUCUUAGAAUAUAGUGUUGUUAAUAUUUAAUGAUUGUGAUGGUUGCAUCAUAUUAGAAAUCCUAACAUGCAUGCAUAUGACCUCAAUUUGCAUACUUUAGUCUUUUUUGAAGAUUUCAAAUGUCAGUUUUCACUUAUACAUGCAACAGAAAGAGAUAAUAACAUGGAGGAUUAUUUUGUGAACUAUAAUUUCAAUGCAGGAUUUAGGUAUGAAGUCUGUUGGUGUGAAAGUGGCAAAAGAAUAUGGAUCAAUAGAGGUAGUGUAAGCUUAUCAUUGGUUUCUAUAUGAUAAAUAUUUGUAUGUUCAUUUAUUGUUAUUUGUAUUUCGCUCAGGUUGAUGAAUACUCUCAAACACGGGUUCCUUAUAUUUUUAUCACCGAGUUGUCUUUGGCUAUUUUAACAGUAUGUGAAGCCCUGAAAGAACAAAUGCUUUUGAUGAAUGAAAAAAGACUCCUUUCAGUCUUAUCUGCCACCACUGAACUCAUUGAUGCCCUUUCAGAUCAACGCUCAAAUUCACACACUGGAUUAUCACUUCAAAUUCAAUGAUUUGAUUAAUUGAAAUAAGUUUAUUCCUUUUUAACCUUUCGAGUUUUGAUUUACCCUUUUGCUUCAUUUCAC
Vicia villosa (hairy vetch) is the source of this 1202-nucleotide RNA transcript. RefSeq lists it as uncharacterized. The record is from RefSeq and is a predicted model, not a curated record. Lineage: Eukaryota; Viridiplantae; Streptophyta; Magnoliopsida; Fabales; Fabaceae. The transcript has 2 exons.